RNAcentral lists this ribosomal RNA (439 nucleotides) under uncultured bacterium. Its description in RNAcentral is "partial 16S ribosomal RNA". It matches the Rfam family "Bacterial small subunit ribosomal RNA", at positions 338 to 795 of the family's 1533-position model. The record is from RNAcentral.
CCUACGGGAGGCAGCAGUGGGGGAUAUUGGACAAUGGGGGGAACCCUGAUCCAGCGACGCCGCGUGAGUGAAGAAGUAUCUCGGUAUGUAAAGCUCUAUCAGCAGGGAAGAAAAUGACGGUACCUGACUAAGAAGCACCGGCUAAAUACGUGCCAGCAGCCGCGGUAAUACGGAGGAUGCGAGCGUUAUCCGGAUUUAUUGGGUUUAAAGGGUGCGUAGGCGGAAUGCCAAGUCAGUGGUAAAAUCGCGGGGCUCAACCUCGCUCCGCCGUUGAAACUGGCGUUCUUGAGUGGGCGAGAAGUAUGAGGAAUGCGUGGUGUAGCGGUGAAAUGCAUAGAUAUCACGCAGAACUCCGAUUGCGAAGGCAGCAUACCGGCGCCCAACUGACGCUGAAGCACGAAAGCGUGGGUAUCGAACAGGAUUAGAUACCCGGGUAGUC